GAGAAGAGAAGAAAGAAAGUUUUACUUUCUUUACAAUUUGGUCCUUCCACCAAAAAAAUUCACCAUUUUCACUUAGAAAUCAAAAUAAUUUCCAUAGCCAUCAAGAGAGAAAGAUAACAAGGAAACUAUGGGGAGCUAGAAUAUCAAGUUGGAUUCAAGAAAUUGAAGCUGGAGGAGAGAGAAAAUCAAGUUAAAGGUUGAAAUCAAUAGGACAAGGUAAGAACAUUGAGAUUUCAAUAUAUUUUUAAGUUUGAUAUUAUUGAAAUAGCAUGUAAAAGAUGUUAUAGUAGAGUUUUCUUAUAUAAAUUCUUAUGUUCUUGAUAUAUUAGUGAAGAGAAAUCAGUGAAAGUGAUGGGAAAUAUUAUAGAGAAAGGGAAUAAGGAAGUUAUAAACUUAAUAAUUAACAUUUUGCACUAAAACAGUUUUGGACAGCAACAGUAGGUUAAAUUUGAAAAAUCACCAUAAAUUGUGGAAAUGAAAUUAGAGGAUGAAAAAAAUAUGGAAUUAAAGCUUACUGAGCCUAGUUUCUCAUAGAAGAAAUGGUGUAAGUAAUGGAAUUGUAAAUCAUGAGAUAUAAUAGAUUUUGUGAGACAAGGUCAGAAUGAUUUUGGAUUCCCCUGUUCUGAAUUUGGAAAAUCAUAAAAAAAUUUACAAAAAUAAUUAUGGGUUAUAAUUUAUAUGUUUAAAAUCAUUAAAGAGUCUAUUUUCAAUAUAAAUAAACAUGGAUAUCGUCCGAAUUCUGUACAAGGAGAUAAUUAAGUUUUAUCAAAGAAGGGUCGGAACUGUCAGACAGCAGAACAGAGGUGACUUUAAAGAAUAAACUGUACUUAUUGGAUAAACCAAAAACUCUGAAAAUUUUAUGGUAAGAAUAUAUGUGAGUCUAGUUUCAGGGAAAAUUAGCGGAUCCUAAUUUGGAGUCCUGUAGCUUAAGAUAAAAAUAAUUUAGUGGAUAUGACUCAAAUGGACAGUUUUGAAUAAAUUUACAAGUAAAUAGUGAAAUCAUAGAUAAUAUUACUUAUAAGCAUAUUAUAUAAAUUAAGGAUGUGUAAUGGAGAGGAGGAGGAGGAAAAUAUAUAUAUAUUAAGCUAGCAUGGAUAAUUUGCACGUUUUAGGCUCAGGGACUAAAUUGAAUAAAAGUAAAACUUUAAGGGUAAAUUUGUAAAAAUGUAAAAAAAGAUCAAAUUGCAUGAAAUGAAUUGUUUUAUUAUUUAAAUUAGUAAAUUGAAUGAAAUAUUAAUUUAGAUCAAGAUUGGGCGGAAAUUUGAGAAAAAUAGAAAAUUUCUAAAAUGUCCCUGAAUUUUGGUAUUUCUGCAAUUUAGCCUGGUAAGUUCGUAUGAACUAUAUUCUGUAUAAUUUUAAUUGAAGUGAAUGCUAUUUGGUAAUGAAUAUUAUAUAUAUGUGUGUGUUUUAUUAUUGGAAUUGAAUUAUUAUUGGUAAUAUGUAUAAUUAUUUGAUGCAUUGAAAUGAUUAUCGGAAGCUCGAUUGAGUUGGAAACUUGUUGGAGAUAUAUCACAUUAUCCAUUGGUUCUAUCGAUAAUUUUGGAUGAUUUGGUUUUGGUUAUAAUGGCAUGUACAAGUUAAAUUGGUUAACGUUAGCUCAUUAAUGUUUUGAUUUUGAUUGGUUUUAAAUAUGAAUGCUUGAUGAAAAGAAAAGUCUGCAAAUUAAUUAGUAAACUCUGGUAAUGCUCUAUAACCUUAUUCUGGCGAUGGAUAAGGGUUAGGGGUGUUACAAUUGGACCCAAAUGUUUGCUAUGGGUUAAUGUGCUGCUAUGCAUGUAGUAGCAGGGCUUCAUUCCAUGUGGCCCAACUCACUAUCUUUUCUUUGUAUACAACAAAAAAGAACAAUGCUAACCGUUUGAAUUCCCUUAACGGGUUAAGGGUUACGUUUGUCCAAUUACAACAUAAAAUACAAUUGAUACAAUGCACAAUAGACGAACAAUUGAAAAAGACCAAAAUAAAUUUAAAAAAAAUCAGAUAAAAUUACGCAUAACAUAUAGAUAUAAAAUGACCCAAAACAUUUUGACGAUAAGAUUUUAAUCCAAACUUUUUUUUGAAGUGUACCAAAACCUCAUCAAAAUAUAUUUAUAUAAAAAGACUACAUAUUUUUAAAAUGGAAAGCUAUAUAUAAUAAAGUUUUCCUAUUAAAAAAAGACUCAACAUAUUUUUUUAAGGAAAAUGGAAAGACUCAAUAUAUUUAAAUAAAUAAGAAAAGACUCAAUAUAUUAUGGUUAUUUAAUAAAAAGUAUAUUAACAACUCCAUUCUUCUUUCACAAUUCACACAGGGCAGCAUAGAAUAGAAAAUAUAUAUAUAUAUAUAUAUAUAUAUAUAUAUAUAUAUAUAUAUAUAUAUGUAAGUUUAAGACCAAGUCAAAUCAUGUCCAAAGGUGGUUGCAUGUGUUAGGCUUCAAGUUGACUAAUUAAGAAAGAUAAGUCUUUAAUUAAUUAUAAAUCUAGAAACUGUAAGAUUGUCUCUAAUGAAGAUGAGUUGCAGGACUCAAAUAUCCAUUAAUUACAGGAUGAAAAUUUUAGAAGGGCUCUUGGAAGAGUUGGAGAAUCUCCUGAUAGAUCUUCCUAAUUAUGGUAGUACAUGUUCGAUUUCUACUCUCUUUUUCCGCUUUCUCUCACCCCAUUGCAUCAUUGAUUCUAUUAAAUGUGUCAAACGAGUUAUAUUUUGUAAAACCCCUUAACCUCAAACCGUCACCGGAAUAGGGUUAUAAAGUAUUACUGGACCUAUCAGACAAUUUACAAUUAAUAUACAAAUAAUUAUCAAACAUAAUAUAAAAUAAUCUUAAGGUCCCUUAGAUGGACCCUCGAGGCGCAAAAUACGAGUUAAGAGUGAUUCGGGUGUUUAGGGAUAUUUUUUUUUGUGCGAGCUCAAUAUAACCCAUUUAUAAGUGUUUAACCUUCCCUGCAAUUUCAAAUCGAAAUCAAUUCAAAACCAAUAUCACAAUUCAUACAAUUUCAUAUUCAAAUAACCUAAACAUAUUUUUUUAUAACUUAACGUUUCAUUUAUCGUUCAAAUAUUAGAGACCAAUUCUUUACAACCAAAACUUUCAAGACUCUUUAAUAAGGCCGAAGUACAUGUCAUAUUUACUAAAGGAAAAAUACAUCACCGAAGUUAUGCUGAAAUCGAGAUUGAUUUGGACACAGAACCUGGACCUUUGAUUUCUAUUAACCUGCGCACGAAAACAAACCGUACGCUGAGUAUUUUAUACUUAGUGGUAUUAUCAUAAUUCAAAUUAUAACAAUAAUAAUGGAAUAUAAUUAUCAAGUAUAUAACUAUCCAAUUUUUAAAAUAUCAAUUCAUUCUUAAACUUUCAUUAAUUAACAAUAACAAUAUAAUUUUUUUAGCUAUUCUUCAAUUUCAUUCACAUAUCAUAUGUCUCCAUUUCAAUCACUACAUGAACAUUAAGUUCAUGCCUUUCAUUUCCAAUCUCAAUUUCAAUACACAAUUCAAUUUUCUCACAUUUUCAAUAGUUCAAUCAAUCAAAUUCAUUUAAAAUUUUCCCAUUUCGGUUAUUCACCCUAUUAACAAACCCGAACUUUGACGGAUAUAUGAAUUUCAACCCAAACACACCAGUACGGCACAUUGUGCCUAAAACGAUACAUAGUACCUGAUCAGUAUAUGACACAUAAGUGCCUGAAACGACACACGAAGUACCUGAAAUACGACACAUAAAGUUACUAAUCGACAAUGCCGAUAAAUCCCGUACUCUUUUAAAUCCUAUAGCAUGCCAACUAUAUCCAACUUAACCCGACUAGUUAAUAGGGUAUUCCAAAUCUCAAUUAAAUUUUCACUUUCAUACCAAAUUUAAGAUCACUAUUCAAUUUCAAAUUCAAAUUCAAAUCAAUAUACAAUUCAAUUAUACUUACACAUUCACCAUCCAAUCCAAUUCUCAUUCAACUCAAAUAUUAAUACUUACCUUAUACUCAUUUAUUAAACAUAAAAUUUAUAUAAAACAUUUAAUAAAAAGUAAUUUGAACUAUAGUAAUACAAACCGUAAAUCUCCCGUUUUAGUUCUCGAUAGCUUUCUCCUUUCUUUUCGAUGCCGAUGCCUCGGGUUCUUUGUUAGCUACAAAAAUAAUAAUAAUUUACAUUAUUAAUUACAUCUGUAACAGCCCAAUUUUCAGUAGUGUCAGAACAAUGAUUUGAGAUCACUAAAUUCGAUGAAAAAGUUAGAAAUAUUUUUGAAUCAGUGAAUUUUGUGAUUUAAAAGAAAUUAUUAGGUAAAUUGGGUCAAAAACGAGGUAUCGAGACCUCGAUAUCAUAAACUGAGCCGUAAAUAUUUUUAUAAAUAUUUACAGAGUGUCAAUAGGAUAAUAUUAAAGUUUCAUUAAGAAAUUUUAACGUUUCGAUAGUUAAUUAUGAAAAAGGAUUAAAUUGCAAUAGGGAUAAAAGUUUAAUUAUAAAUUAAAGAAAAGUUAAAAGGACCAAAUAGGCAAUUAUGCCUUUUUCCAAAGUUGAGGCGGCAUAAGUAUAAAAAUCUGAGAUUUUUAUGUGUUAAAAAAAUAUUAUUAUAUUAUAGUAAUGAUAAUGUUUUUAUAUUAUAUUAUAUUAUAUAUAUAUAUAAAACAAAAGAAAGAAUAGAAAAAGAAAGAAAAGAAGCAGAAUAGAAGAGACGAAACAGAGAAAGAAACAGAGAGCAAAACAGGCAGAGAAGGAAGGAAAGAAAGAAAGAAAGAAAAAGAAAAAGGGAAAUUUAAGGUUUUAAGGUUCCAAGCUCAAUUGGUAAGUUAAAUUAAGUCUUUUUCUUAUAAUUUUUGAGUUUUUGGAAUCCUAGAGAUAAAUACUACUUGAUUUAUGUUGAUAUUUUGAAAGUUAGUAGAUUGUUAGACAUGAGUUAUGUUGAAUUAAUUGAUGAACUAGAGGUUAAAAUGAUUGAAUUUUAAGUUAGAAAUUAGUAAAAGAUUGAUUUGUAAAAUAAAAUAUAAGUUUUGAAUUGAUAGGGAUUAAAUUGAAAGAAUCCCGAAAUUAGGGAUUUAUGGGGAAAUUGAAGAAUUAAACUGAGUUUAUAGUAAGAAUUAAGAGAGAAUAUAGAGUUAGAAUGGAAAAAUAAAAUUAGUAUUGAUAAGGGAUUAAAUUAGAAUUUGGGUAAAGUUUAGGUAUACGGGAAAUAUUUUAAUGAAAUUGUGUAUUAAUGAUUUUUAAUUGUUUAAUUACGUAGCUAAUGUCGUGCACGAGUCAUUGUCCGAGAAAGGAAAGGAGAAAGUGGACAAGGAGUGACUCGAGAGAAAUUCCGGUUAGUAUUACUAUAAUUCGAAUUUAAUUAUUAAUUGUUAAAAUUUAAAUUAAUAUACAUGAUAAGCAAAUUGAGGUAAGCAUCACGACUGAAUUGAAUGAUAAAUACGUAUUGGUAUUAAAUUUAUUAAUAGCAAUUGUUGAAUUUUGAAUAAUAUGUUUAGUUAAUAAAAAAAAUGAAUAUUGAUAUUGAAUUGUACAUGAAUUUGAUUGGAAAAUGAAUUAAAAAAUAUAUAUAUGAAUGGAAUAAAAGUGAAUUAAAUUGUGAAUAAGUGUGAUAUAUGUGAAUUGCGGAAUAAGUAGUAAAUUGUAAUGACGAAGAAAUGAUAAAUCCUUUUUGAAAUAAUUCUAUAAAGUAUUUAAAUAAAUGAGAUUCAUAUUUAAUGCCCAAGUAGAUGGAAUUUAGAACUACCAGGAUAUUAGUGGCAUGCCAUUAAGGAACUUAUUAAGGAGCUUUAGUGUGCUCUCUGAUUAUUAGCACGUUGGUGCUCUCUGAUUAUUAGCACGUUUGUGCUCUCUGAUAUUUAGCACGUCAGUGCUCUUUGUUUAGCACAUUCGUGCUCUCUGUAUUUGAUCCGUAUAUCCGGGGUGUUCUGUAAAAUCUACUUUGGGCUAAGAUUAUAAGCUGUGGACAAAAGUGAAUCAUUAAUGUGUUAAGGUAAGUCUUAUAAAGUUUAUAUGUACCGUUUUAGGCAUAAUGUGCCGUAUUGGUGUGUUUUGGUUGGAUCCGUGUAUCCGCCAAGAUCUGAGUCAAGUUAAUAGGGGUAAAUGAAUAAUUUUGAUAAUAUAAAUUUUUAUUGAAUGAUCUUGAAUAUGAAUUGAAAUAGCUAUUGUUAAGAAGUGAGAAGUGAAAAUAAAAUAAUUUGAAAGAGUGAAAUAAUAUGUGAAUUUAACUGAAUACAAGUUAUUGAAAUUUAGUUAUGGAUUUAAUGAAUAAAUUGAGUGUUAAAAGAUUUAAAGUACAUAUUGAUUAUAAAUAGAAAUGAUAUAUGAAAUGAAAGAUUAUUGAGUCUAUUUUUAUAGAAAAAUAACGGUUUAGCAAAAAGAAAUUUAUAUUUUAAGAUAUGUGAAUUUUAGUGAGAAAUGGUCAGAUCUAUUUCUGGAGUCCCCUGUUCCGAGUUUAGAAAAUCACUAAAAAUGGUAUAAAAAUAUUUAUGAGUUGUAGUUUAUAUGUGUAGAAUCCUUAUUGAGUCUAUUUUCUAUAGAAAUAAGUGGUAAUAUCAUAUGAAAAUCCUAUAAUGAGAAAAUUUAUUUUUAGUACCAAGGGGUCAGGACAGUCGAGUGAAGAAACAUGGGAGAAUUUAACUAAUAAACUGUACUAAUUGGUCAAACCAAGAAUUCUGAAAAUUUUAUGGUAGAAAGAUAUAUGAGUCUAGUUUCAGGAAAAAUUUACGAAAUUAAAUUUGGAGUUCCGUAGCUCGAGUUAUAAUCAAUUUAGUAACUGCUGCGCGAUUGGACAGAUUACUAUAAACAGUGAAAUUAAUUUUUAAAACGAAUUUUUAUGCCCCGAAUUAGUAAGAUAAGCUAAGUAAUGCCUCGUACUCGAUUCCGGCAACGGUCUCGGGUAAGGGGUGUUACAACAUCACUAAUUUAUAGUAAAUAAUUGAAUUUUAUUCAAUUUAUACCCUAAUUCCAAUUUAAUCCUAAUUAACUCAUUUACUUUUCUAACUCAAUUCAUACUUUAUUUCUAUUCAAUUUCCUUCCAUAUUCUACUUAACUAUCUAAUGUUCAUAAUAAAAUCCUAAUUUAAAACUUCUUUCAAUUUAAUCUCUACAACACAAAACUUAUAGUUUCUUUUACAAUUUAAUCCCUUAAUCAAUUCUAACUAGAAAUUCUAUCAAUUAAACCCCUAAUUCAUCAUUUUGUUCAACAUAAAUUAUAUUCAAAAACCUAAGAACUUUCAAAACUUUAACUUAAAUUCAACAAAAUCUUAUUCUAAAGCUUCUAAAACAUCAAAAUUAAGAGAAAAUGACUUAAUUUGACUUACCUAUUAAAGCUUUAAACCUUCAAACUCUAGUUUUUUCUUUCUUUCUUUUCUCCCUGUUUCGUUCUCUGUUUUGUUUCUUUGUUUCUUUUUCUUUCAUUUAUUUUGUUUAAUUUUUAGUUAUUAUAAUAAUAUAAUAUAAUACAUAUAUACUUAAAUAUUAAGUAAUACAUGUUUUAUUAAUAUAUAUAUGUAUAUUAUUUUUAAACAUAUAAUUACUAUUACCAUACACUUGUCUAUUAGCAUCACUAUUAUUUUUAUUAAUUCAAUAUUUUAAUAUAAAAAUUCGAAUCCGUCAACUCAUAUUCAGGGGUACCUAUUAGAGCACAUAAUCAGGAAGCACUCUCUCGAGCCAUAUAACAGGAUGCUCAUGUGAGCCAUGUAACAGGAAGCUUAUCCGAGCUAUAACAGGAAGCUCAUUAAGCUUAACAGGUAACUCCGGAUAGCCAUAUAACAGGAAGUUCAAGCGAACCACAUCAGGAAGCUCACAAGGAGCCUAUAUCAUGACGCUCAUAAAUAGCUGCGGUAUGUCCGCAUUAUAUGUAGGAUCCAUACCGAUCUUAUAACAUUACGCUCACAAAGAGUUGCGGUAUGACUGUAACACAUGCAUGGUUAAUACCGAUUGGGAUGCUCGCAAGAACUAUAUAAUGGGAAGCUCGAGAGAGCUUAUAACAGGAUGCUCGUAAGAGCUAUGGUGUGUCCGCAACAUAUGCAGAACCACAACCAAUAUGGGAAAUCCUGUUUCCAUCGAAUUUCAUUAAUUCAAACAGGACAUAUUACUUAUCAGGCAUUAUUGAACAUGCGAUCAAUUUCAUAUUUUCAUAGCAUUUAUACAAUUCACAUAUACACGACGUUCAAUUCAAACAUAUAAAUAUACACAAAUAUAUCAGGAAG
RNAcentral lists this long non-coding RNA (8117 nucleotides) under Gossypium raimondii (Peruvian cotton). RNAcentral describes it as "long non-coding RNA (GRAI_LNC006793)". The record is from RNAcentral. Lineage: Eukaryota; Viridiplantae; Streptophyta; Magnoliopsida; Malvales; Malvaceae.